CGGGGUGUGGCUCAGCUUGGCUAGAGCGCCUGGUUUGGGACCAGGAGGUCGCAGGUUCGAAUCCUGUCACCCGA
This 74-nucleotide transfer RNA is filed under the name Coprococcus comes ATCC 27758. It matches the Rfam family "tRNA". From Rfam's summary of the family: Transfer RNA (tRNA) molecules are approximately 80 nucleotides in length. Their secondary structure includes four short double-helical elements and three loops (D, anti-codon, and T loops). The record is from Rfam by way of RNAcentral. Lineage: Bacteria; Bacillati; Bacillota; Clostridia; Lachnospirales; Lachnospiraceae.